UAAUGGAUCCUCACAGAUCCAUGGGAAAAGAUACCCAUAUGAUAAUAAGGUCCCAUAAGAAUGUAAAUUUUCAUGUAGAUACUAUGUAAUCCAGGCCACAUCGAAAUAUUGUGCUGCUAAAUGCUAGCUUUUAGCCCAGAUAGGAUUCUUAUGGUUCUGGUUGUAAUCAGAUCCGUCGACACUCUGUCAUAUGGGAACUACGGUAUCUAUAAAUAGAGCUUCCUACAAGCUCUUUAUCUCAAUUUACAUAACGAAUAAAUACUCUUACAUUCUCCAGUCAAUUACAUCUCUUACAGAACUGACUUAUUAGAGUGGCCUUUGAGGAGUACCCCGGCCUCUUACUCUAGUCGUACUUUAGCAUUCUCAGAAUCGGCUCUGUUCAAGGUCGAUAAUGGUUGCCAUAUUCUGACCACGAUAGGUCUUAUGGUAGAACAUUAAAGUGAAAAAGCCAAGAAAUGACGAAGGCAAGAACCAUGCAAGCAAGUAGAACAUUUAAAAGCCGACGACCAUGCCAGAUGCUUUCAGUCUCGAUGACGAUAACAGGUGUUUCUGUUGAAGCUGUAUUGGUUGCAAUGUUGAUGUUGAUUGCCUGCUCGCCAACAAUGUUCAGUGCAUUGGCACCACAGAUUUCACAAAUUCUGCAUAAAAUAAAUACAAUGUGGUGAGGAAAGUAGAAAAUAUACAAACAGAAAACUUAUUGAAG
Molecule: long non-coding RNA, 703 nt
Filed under: Olea europaea (common olive)
Lineage: Eukaryota; Viridiplantae; Streptophyta; Magnoliopsida; Lamiales; Oleaceae
Description: long non-coding RNA (OEUR_LNC012238)
Source: RNAcentral